GACGAACGCUGGCGGCGUGCUUAACACAUGCAAGUCGAACGGAAAGGCCCUGCUUUUGUGGGGUGCUCGAGUGGCGAACGGGUGAGUAACAUGUGAGUAACCUGCCCUUGACUUUGGGAUAACUUCAGGAAACUGGGGCUACUACCGGAUAGGAGCUCCUGCUGCAUGGUGGGCGUUGGAAAGUUUCGGCGGUUGGGGAUGGACUCGCGGCUUAUCAGCUUGUUGGUGGGGUAGUGGCUUACCAAGGCUUUGACGGGUAGCCGGCCUGAGAGGGUGACCGGCGACAUUGGGACUGAGAUACGGCCCAGACUCGUACGGGAGGCAGAAGUGGGGAAUAUUGCACAAUGGGCGGAAGCCUGAGGCAGCAGCGCCGCGUGCGGGAUGACGGCCUUCGGGUUGUAAACCGCUUUCGCCUGUGACGAAGCGUGAGUGACGGUAAUGGGUAAAGAAGCACCGGCUAACUACGUG
Molecule: ribosomal RNA, 468 nt
Filed under: uncultured bacterium
Lineage: Bacteria
Description: partial 16S ribosomal RNA
Rfam family: Bacterial small subunit ribosomal RNA
Source: RNAcentral